Molecule: ribosomal RNA, 301 nt
Filed under: uncultured bacterium
Lineage: Bacteria
Description: partial 16S ribosomal RNA
Rfam family: Bacterial small subunit ribosomal RNA
Source: RNAcentral
CAGUCGCCACGGUAAUACGUAGGUCCCGAGCGUUGUCCGGAUUUAUUGGGCGUAAAGCGAGCGCAGGCGGUUAGAUAAGUCUGAAGUUAAAGGCUGUGGCUUAACCAUAGUACGCUUUGCAAACUGUUUAACUUGAGUGCAAGAGGGGAGAGUGGAAUUCCAUGUGUAGCGGUGAAAUGCGUAGAUAUAUGGAGGAACACCGGUGGCGAAAGCGGCUCUCUGGCUUGUAACUGACGCUGAGGCUCGAAAGCGUGGGGAGCAAACAGGAUUAGAUACCCCGGUAGUCCCUGUCUCUUAUACA